GAUGAACGCUAGCGGCAGGCCUAAUACAUGCAAGUCGGACGGGAUUCAGGUGCUUGCUUCUGAUGAGAGUGGCGCACGGGUGCGUAACACGUAUGUAACCUACCUUUAUCAUGUUGAUAGCCUCUCGAAAGAGAGAUUAAGCCCGCAUAAAAUCACAGCACAGCAUUGUGUAAUGAUCAAAUAUUUAAAGGAUAAAGAUGGGGAUGCGGAACCUUAGCUUGGUGGCGGGGUAACGGCCCACCAUGGCGACGAUGUUUAGGGGAUCUGAGAGGAUGGCCCCCAAGAAUGGUACUGAGAUACGGACCAGAGUCGUACGGGAGGCAGCAGUAAGGAAUAGUGGUCAAUGGGAGGAAGCCCGAACCAGCCAUGCCGGGUGCAGGAAGACGGCCGUACGGGUUGUAAACUGCUUUUAUACGGGAAUAACCCCAGAUACGUGUAUCUGGCUGAAGGUACUGUAAGAAUAAGGAGCGGCUAACUCCGUG
Molecule: ribosomal RNA, 482 nt
Filed under: uncultured bacterium
Lineage: Bacteria
Description: partial 16S ribosomal RNA
Rfam family: Bacterial small subunit ribosomal RNA
Source: RNAcentral